Molecule: ribosomal RNA, 200 nt
Filed under: uncultured bacterium
Lineage: Bacteria
Description: partial 16S ribosomal RNA
Rfam family: Bacterial small subunit ribosomal RNA
Source: RNAcentral
AUUGAACACUGGCGGCAGGCCUAACACAUGCAAGUCGAGCGCGAAAGUUCUUCGGAAUGAGUAAAGCGGCGGACGGGUGAGUAAUACAUGGGAAUCUGCCUGGUAGUGGGGGACAACGUUUCGAAAGGAACGCUAAUACCGCAUACGCCCUACGGGGGAAAGGGGGGAUCUUCGGACCUCUCGCUAUCAGAUGAGCCCAU